CUAGACACACCCUUGUAAUUUUGACUAUGAUAUUAAAAAUUUAUCUUAUUAGUCUUUUUUUAGGUAAGAAUUGGAUAUUUACUGUAACAUCCCACAUCGUCCAGGAGAGUGAUCUUUAAAUGUAUAUUCUCAUCCCUACCUAGCACGAGACCUUUUGGGAGCUUACUAGCUUCGGGUUCCGUAGGAACUCCGAAGUUAAGCGAAAAUGAGGCUAGAGCACUCCCAAGAUGGGUGACCCACUAGGAAGUUGCUUGUGAGUUUCCAAAAACAAAACCGUGAGGGAAUGGUAAGCUCAAAGCAGACAAUAUCGUGCUACAGUGGUGGAACGGACCCGAAAUGUGGUGGACCUGGGCCGAGAUGUGACAUUUACAGAGAUUUUUAAAAUGUACUUGAAAUGUCACCACAAAUGAUGUAUCAUUAAUAAUAAAUAACUAAAUUAAAUGAUGUGUCAUUAAUAAGAACUAAGCACAUUAGUCAAUAAUUAAGUAAUAACCUAAUUACCAACUUUCAUGUCAUUUACUUUAACAAAUUUAGCUUAAACAAUUAGUCUCUUUAGCAUUACCCUUCACCAAUAUGAUUGAAAUUUAUUUGUAGUUCUACUUGGAAUUGGGUUUUUUUUUUCAAUAAACAUUUAAUAUGCUCUCUUUCUAAGAUUGCAUAUCCAUUUCCAAUUAAAUAAUUUAGCUUUUAGGAUAGGAUGGGUUUUUCAUAAGCUAAAAAAUUAUUGCCUAGAAGAAUUGACAAAGAAGAAAAUGAAGAAAAGUAAAGGAGAAUAUACUUAUUGUGGAGAAAUUUAUACACCAGGUUUUAGUGAUUACCUAGAGAAAAAGAAGAAACAUAGAAAGAAAUACAUUUUUUUUGUCAAACGAUAGAUUUUGUUAGAUUAAAUGUUAGAUUAGCCACUGACGAGGUUCGAACCCAUGCCGUCAUGCUAGGGCUCAACAUAUUUUCAUCACUAUGGUAAAGAUAGAAAGAAAUACUUUAAAUAUAAGAAACAUGGCUUCACCAUGUUCAAUGAUGAAUCAAUUUUUGGUUAUACCAAAAAAAAAAAAAAUCAGUUUUUGUGUAUUUGGUGAUAUUGUAGGAAUUUGAAGCAAAAUUAAUUUCAGUUACUCUCUUCGUAAGAUUGCAUACCCACAGAUGGUGCUUUACCGCAUUGAUAAAAAACAAUUAUAUUCAGAAACCUUGUUGCAGGUUUGAUCCUUACCAAUCUCUCUCCCUCCUAACAAUUGAUCAUUUAACCCACUAACGUUACUCUUGUUCACCUUUAUACAUUCUUUGUCUUUCUAGUUAUUUGACUGAACAAUGUAAAAUGAAAAUAAAAAUAAUUCUAUAAAGUGAAUAUUUUCUUUUCUCACAAAGUACUCCUCUUUAUAUACAUGGCAUGCACGCUAAAAAAGUGCAUGGUGAUGAAAUUUUGAUGAAAUUUUCACUACCUACUAGGGGUGGAAUUUUUUCCCGAAAAUCCCGAACCGUCCCGAUCCCGUCCCGAAAUUAGACCGAAAAAUUCCCGAACCGAAUUUCCCGAAACAUUCGGUACCUGAAACCGAUCCUGACCCGAAAGUUUCGGUUUGGGAUUCGGCCACAACUUUGAAAGCUUUCGGGAAUCCCGAACCGAACCGAAUAAUAUAUAUAUAUAUUUAUUUAUUUUUAAUUUUUAAUUAGACAUUACUUGAACCGUUGGAUUUGUUAAAAUCUAAUCCAACCGUCUAUAGUUAGGUCAUUUGUUUGUUAGGUUAUUAGACUCUCUCAGUCGCUCUUGCUCUCUCACCUCACUGGCUCACUCACUCUCACAGUCCCCCCGCUCCACUCCUCCGUCGAAUCCACGCCGCUCCUCAUCGUCCAUCACUCCAUUGACCCACGCCGCUCCACUCCUCCGUCGAAUCCAUGCUGGUCCUCGUCGUCCAUUGACUCACGCCGCUUCUCCAUCGACUCACGCCGCUUCUCCAUCGACUGACGCUUCUCCAUCGACUCACACUCACACACUCGAAUCCGACACCAAUCGAGUCCCAAAAUCCAGGUUAGGGUUCCUAAUUUUCGAUUAACUUGAUUUCUGAGUGAGUAUUUUGUCGAAUGUGUGAGGGUUUCGAAUUAGGGAACUUUUCAUGUGUAUUUGAUCCUCUUCCUUCAACAGAGGACCCCAAAUCAGUAGGAAACCCCAUUUUAUGUGUUUCUGUAGGAGAUGAUUCAGGUAGCAAGCUAACUAAGAUUAGUAGUUAGUAGGCCCAGAAGCUUUCCCAAUUGCAUGCAACGCUUCAUCUCUGUGCCUCGAGAGAUUUCUUCACUGAUUAGCACACAAUUCUCACAGAGAGAGAGUGUGAGUGUGUAAGAGAGAGAGAGAGAAUGAGAGAGAAUCAAUUUCGAGCAGUCCUAAUCAUCUUCUUGUUUUUCUUUGUCUUCAGAAUCUGUGAUGCACUAUACGGACCAUCAUCGCCAGUUCUUCAAGGCCCAAUCCCGAAGUUACCUGAAAAUCUCGAAACACUUUCGGGAAUCCCGAAUUUCGGGAAAUGCACAUAUUCGGUUCGGUUUCGGGAUAUAAAAUCCCAUCCCGAAAUGUUUUGGUUUGGGAUUCGGGAAAGGAGUUUGGUUCGGGAUCCCGACCCGAACCACCCCUACUACCUACUACCAGCCGUGCACAGUGCACACACACAAAAAUCCUCAAAAAAAUCUUAUUUUUCUCAUAUCUUGACUUUAACUAACUUAAAUAAAUAAUUCCCAGGCACUCACUUUCUUAUCAUAUCACAUGUCAUUCUUGUGAUGCCACCCAACUAAUCUGGAUUGUUCCGUGAUUUGCAACGUCAAUAAUCAACUAGCUUAAUGAUUCAUUAUAAUAAUAAUAAUCAGUUAGAUGGCGAUGAAUUGCUAAUCCUAAUCGGAUAAAUAGUUGUUGAUAAGGUAAUUGAAAGAUAGUCAUCAUAUUUUAAAAAAAAAAAAUUAAAAUUAAACUCUCGUAGGCUCAUAGUAUAAUCUUUUAACAAAUUUAGUCCAUAAAUAAUUUUAAGGGAACUUUAACGAAAA
This 3018-nucleotide long non-coding RNA is filed under the name Malus domestica (apple). RNAcentral describes it as "long non-coding RNA (MDOM_LNC014924)". The record is from RNAcentral. Lineage: Eukaryota; Viridiplantae; Streptophyta; Magnoliopsida; Rosales; Rosaceae.